This 163-nucleotide ribosomal RNA is filed under the name Dendrobium longicornu. RNAcentral's name for it is "5.8S ribosomal RNA". It matches the Rfam family "5.8S ribosomal RNA". From Rfam's summary of the family: 5.8S ribosomal RNA (5.8S rRNA) is a component of the large subunit of the eukaryotic ribosome. It is transcribed by RNA polymerase I as part of the 45S precursor that also contains 18S and 28S rRNA. Lineage: Eukaryota; Viridiplantae; Streptophyta; Magnoliopsida; Asparagales; Orchidaceae. The record is from RNAcentral. RNAcentral also lists the same sequence under 2 other names.
ACAUGACUCUCGGCAAUGGAUAUCUCGGCUCUCGCAUCGAUGAAGAGCGCAGCGAAAUGCGAUACGUGGUGCGAAUUGCAGAAUCCCGCGAACCAUCGAGUCUUUGAACGCAAGUUGCGCCCGAGGCCAACCGGCCAAGGGCACGUCUGCCUGGGCGUCAAUC